GAUGAACGCUGGCGGCGUGCCUAAUACAUGCAAGUCGAGCGAACAGACGAGGAGCUUGCUUCUCUGACGUUAGCGGCGGACGGGUGAGUAACACGUGGAUAACCUACCUAUAAGACUGGGAUAACCUCGGGAAACCGGAGCUAAUACCGGAUAAUAUAUUGAACCGUAUGGUUCAAUAGUGAAAGACGGUUUUGCUGUCACUUAUAGAUGGAUACGCGCCGCAUUAGCUAGUUGGUAAGGUAACGGCUUACCAAGGCAACGAUGCGUAGCCGACCGCGGAGGGGGAUCGGCGACACGGGAGCGGAGACAGGGACCAGGGGCCUACGAGAGGCACCAGACGCCAACGGGCCGCAGUAGUCGAAAAUAUUACAGAACGGGGGAGCGCCAGAGACAGCGACGUCCGGAUCGUAAUAAAGUGCUACGAGUGGUGAACCAAUGUGUGAGUAGCUAUAGCCGUCUUGACGGUACCUGAACAGGAAGCGACGGCUAACUACGUG
Molecule: ribosomal RNA, 497 nt
Filed under: uncultured bacterium
Lineage: Bacteria
Description: partial 16S ribosomal RNA
Rfam family: Bacterial small subunit ribosomal RNA
Source: RNAcentral